This 75-nucleotide transfer RNA is filed under the name Armatimonadetes bacterium CG2_30_66_41. RNAcentral describes it as "tRNA-Met". It matches the Rfam family "tRNA". Rfam says of the family: Transfer RNA (tRNA) molecules are approximately 80 nucleotides in length. Their secondary structure includes four short double-helical elements and three loops (D, anti-codon, and T loops). The record is from RNAcentral. Lineage: Bacteria; Bacillati; Armatimonadota. RNAcentral also lists the same sequence under 7 other names.
GGGCCCAUAGCUCAGCGGUAGAGCGUCCGGCUCAUAACCGGCUGGUCGCAGGUUCGAAUCCUGCUGGGCCCACCA